CCAGUACAUGCUGCUGUACAUGUACUGCCGGAGCUCGAGGGGAUGGGUCCCACCGGAGGCAAGUCUGCAGUACAAGCUGUACUCGCUCCCCACUGCCCAACGGCUGCAGUACGUACUGCGCUUCAGCUGCAGGAAGCCAGCCACGAGCGCGCGCGCGAGGAAGUACAAGAGGCGCGCCCGAUAAUCUCUGCCAGUACGAUCGCCAGCCAUCGAGAUCGAUAGCGUGCUGUCCGCCCGCCAUUACUCUCCCCCGUGCCGCCCUUGGAUCGCCUGACGGCCUGAGCUCCGACGAUGGAGCUUGGGAAAAGAAUAAGGAAACGCAAGGGAGCUCCUGCAGGGGCGAGCUGCGAACACAUGCGAGGAUUACCGGGCCGUGGUCGCCGCCUCGCCGGUAGGGCAUGCAUGUGUUCUCAGGUCGCCCCCGCCGGGCCCUCCUCGCUGCCGCCGACGGCUGGGAUGGACGGAGGCCUACGACGGCGACGGCGAGCCACCAGGAUUCUGCCGCGGAUAAUCAAAAGGGGAGAAUGCAGGAGCUCUGCAUGAUCAUUUAAGAAGGAAGAAGAGUGCGUAGCUUACAAGGAUGAUAUUACAUAAAACCAAACCGACUCAGACAGAAGAAAACUAAACAUCUAACUAACAAAGCUCAGGCCUACCAGGCUACCACAGGCCACAACUCGCAUAAGGAUCUUCUCUUUGAUAAGGCUGAAAACCAGGACAGGUGUGAGCUCCUUAUGCUGAAAAAUCCUUCUGUUUCUGUCAACCCAGAUGUUCCAAGCUGUAACCGUAAGAACCGCCGGCACCGAUUUUUGUUGCUUGAAAGUGAACGGGGUUAGUGUUCUUGACCACCAGACCUGAAGAUCGUGUUGCAAUGGAUGUUGGAAACCCAGACCAACCCAAUUAGACACCAAGAACCACACCUCUCUUGCAAAACUGCAGUUUAGAAUCUCCUGAUCACACAAACGGCACGUUGGAUCUCAGUCCAUUUCCUCGCGAGCAAUUUGUCUGCAGUUCAGAUCUUUGAUUGUAGGAGUAGCCAAAUGAAAAGUUUAUGCUUACCCUCGGCAUGCGCACACCAUAGGGAUCUUCCAUCAAAAGUACCAUAGGUACCUUGCAGUCACUGACGGAACUGGGGAGGAGCAUGUGGGCAGGCCGAGAUAGGAGCAAGAAGGCUCAAUAGUCCAGCUACGUAAUCGGCUGCCAGCCCCUAGCUACCUAACGUUUCGUUUCUGUUGACAUCGGAUUUUGGCCAGCAAAUCCGAUGUAAGAAGUGAUGAUCGGCUACUAGCAUGCACCUGUGACUCAGUCACAGGAAACAAAAAGGACCAAGCCGAUGAUCUUGUUCGUAUUAUGAUGACCGGAGGCCUGCAGGUAUGGCGUACGGAGUUAUUACAGAUACAUGGAGAUAAGCGCUGCAUGUGUCAUGAAGAUUAUUUGCAUGCGUACGUGCAUUGAAAACGGACGGUAGGCCGCAUGCAAGGUAACUAAAAAGAAAGAUGGUGGCCGGGUUAAUUAAAUAAGAAGAAAGGGGCAAGCCUCAAGAAAAGGCCAGUGCUACGUGCAUGCGAAAGGGAUCACGGAAGAUACAUGCAAUUAUUAUUGAUUAGUGCGGCUGAUUGUUCUUUAUAUAUGCACACAUGGGUGGAAUAAUAUUGCGCUCUGCAUGGUCUUUUGGAAGGUGGAGACAAUGGAGUUGAAAGCUGGCAUAGGCAAGGAACUUUCACGGAACGUGACUCUACGAAGAAGGAAGGAAAAUUAGAGUUCAUCUAUCUUAAUAAUUCCUUUUGUUUAGAUAUUUAGUAUUAGGCAAGUUGGGAACGUUUUCUACUAAUUAUGUACCCCUAGCCAUUGUAAUAUCUCUCAUCAAUUAAACAAAAUCUUUACUUUA
Long non-coding RNA from Panicum hallii, 1885 nucleotides. RefSeq lists it as uncharacterized. The transcript has 2 exons. Lineage: Eukaryota; Viridiplantae; Streptophyta; Magnoliopsida; Poales; Poaceae. The record is from RefSeq and is a predicted model, not a curated record.